Molecule: transfer RNA, 77 nt
Filed under: Candidatus Uhrbacteria bacterium
Lineage: Bacteria; Candidatus Uhriibacteriota
Description: tRNA-Met
Rfam family: tRNA
About the family: Transfer RNA (tRNA) molecules are approximately 80 nucleotides in length.
Source: RNAcentral
GGCAGGGUAGCUCAGUUGGUCAGAGCGAAGGACUCAUAAGCCUUAGGUCGUGGGUUCGAUCCCCACCCCUGCUACUA